UAAUACGAAGGGACCUAGCGUAGUUCGGAAUUACUGGGCUUAAAGAGUUCGUAGGUGGUUAAAAAAGUUGGUUGUGAAAUCCCGAAGCUUAACUUCGGAACUGCAAUCAAAACUUUUUAGCUAGAGUAUGAUAGAGGAAAGCAGAAUUUCUAGUGUAGAGGUGAAAUUCGUAGAUAUUAGAAAGAAUACCAAUUGCGAAGGCAGCUUUCUGGAUCAUUACUGACGCUGAGGAACGAAAGCAUGGGUAGCGAAGAGGAUUAGAUACCCUCGUAGUCCAUGCCGUAAACGAUGUGUGUUAGACGUUGGAAAUUUAUUUUCAGUGUCGCAGCGAAAGCAAUAAACACACCGCCUGGGGAGUACGACCGCAAGGUUAAAACUCAAAUGAAUUGACGGGGACCCGCACAAGUAGUGGAGCAUGUGGUUUAAUUCGAAGAUACGCGCAGAACCUUACCAACACUUGACAUGUUCGUCGCGGCUCUAAGAGAUUAGAGCUUUCGGUUCGGCCGGACGAAACACAGGUGCUGCAUGGCUGUCGUCAGCUCGUGUCGUGAGAUGUUGGGUUAAGUCCCGCAACGAGCGCAACCCUCACUUUUAGUUGCCAUCAUUUAGUUGGGCACUCUGAAAGAACUGCCAGUGAUAAGCUGGAGGAAGGUGGGGAUGACGUCAAGUCCUCAUGGCCCUUACGUGUUGGGCUACACACGUGCUACAAUGGCAUUUACAAUAGGAAGCAAGAUGGCGACGUCAAGCAAAUCCUGAAAAGAUGCCUCAGUUCGGAUUGUACUCUGCAACUCGAGUACAUGAAGCUGGAAUUACUAGUAAUCGCGGAUCAGCGCGCCGCGGUGAAUACGUUCCCGGGUCUUGUACACACCGCCCGUCACACCAUGGGAGUUGGUUCUACCUUAAGGCAAGGUUUAAAAUCCUUGACCACGGUAUAGUCAGCGACUGGGGUGAAGUCAUA
Molecule: ribosomal RNA, 958 nt
Filed under: uncultured bacterium
Lineage: Bacteria
Description: bacterial SSU rRNA
Rfam family: Bacterial small subunit ribosomal RNA
Source: RNAcentral